This 21-nucleotide microRNA is filed under the name Brachypodium distachyon (stiff brome). Its description in RNAcentral is "bdi-miR5061". The record is from miRBase by way of RNAcentral. Lineage: Eukaryota; Viridiplantae; Streptophyta; Magnoliopsida; Poales; Poaceae.
UCUGUUCUGUCCUGCUCGGUA